CCUACGGGAGGCAGCAGUGGGGAAUAUUGGGCAAUGGGCGCAAGCCUGACCCAGCAACGCCGCGUGAAGGAAGAAGGCUUUCGGGUUGUAAACUUCUUUUAUCAGGGACGAAGCAAGUGACGGUACCUGAUGAAUAAGCCACGGCUAACUACGUGCCAGCAGCCGCGGUAAUACGUAGGUGGCAAGCGUUAUCCGGAUUUACUGGGUGUAAAGGGCGUGUAGGCGGGAGUGCAAGUCAGAUGUGAAAACUCAGGGCUCAACCCUGAGCCUGCAUUUGAAACUGUGUUUCUUGAGUGCUGGAGAGG
RNAcentral lists this ribosomal RNA (305 nucleotides) under uncultured bacterium. Its description in RNAcentral is "bacterial SSU rRNA". It matches the Rfam family "Bacterial small subunit ribosomal RNA", at positions 338 to 657 of the family's 1533-position model. The record is from RNAcentral.